GCUUGAUCUGGCUGAAACAUCUGUCACCCCAAUGAACGCCAGGGUUGAUUCCACUGAUCUGACUGGCUAGGCAGGUGCGUCCCUCCUGAAGCUGCAUCUGUUGGUCCUGUGUCGGUCCCUCAAAGAGGGCAACCUUCCCCAAUAAAGGAGGACUAGUCUUUGCUCAAGGUACAGGAGUAGCUGUCUUCCCCAAUAAAACCUCCAAACAAGCUCUCCUUACCUUCUGAUUGAGAGACAGAGUCUCUCCCUGAAGUUAGAACCACACACGCUGUGCCUAGACUGACUACUCAGCAGGUUCCU
Molecule: small nuclear RNA, 300 nt
Filed under: Rattus norvegicus (Norway rat)
Lineage: Eukaryota; Metazoa; Chordata; Mammalia; Rodentia; Muridae
Description: 7SK RNA
Rfam family: 7SK RNA
About the family: 7SK was discovered as an abundant small nuclear RNA in the mid-70s but a possible function has only recently been suggested.
Source: Rfam by way of RNAcentral